AUUGAACGCUGGCGGCAGGCCUAACACAUGCAAGUCGAGCGGAUGAAGGGAGCUUGCUCCUGGAUUCAGCGGAGGACGGGUGAGUAAUGCCUAGGAAUCUGCCUGGUAGUGGGGGAUAACGUCCGGAAACGGGCGCUAAUACCGCAUACGUCCUGAGGGAGAAAGUGGGGGAUCUUCGGACCUCACGCUAUCAGAUGAGCCUAGGUCGGAUUAGCUAGUUGGUGGGGUAAAGGCCUACCAAGGCGACGAUCCGUAACUGGUCUGAGAGGAUGAUCAGUCACACUGGAACUGAGACACGGUCCAGACUCCUACGGGAGGCAGCAGUGGGGAAUAUUGGACAAUGGGCGAAAGCCUGAUCCAGCCAUGCCGCGUGUGUGAAGAAGGUCUUCGGAUGGUAAAGCACUUUAAGUUGGGAGGAAGGGCAGUAAGUUAAUACCUUGCUGUUUUGACGUUACCAACAGAAUAAGCACCGGCUAACUUCGUG
This 484-nucleotide ribosomal RNA is filed under the name uncultured bacterium. Its description in RNAcentral is "partial 16S ribosomal RNA". It matches the Rfam family "Bacterial small subunit ribosomal RNA", at positions 30 to 507 of the family's 1533-position model. The record is from RNAcentral.